RNAcentral lists this ribosomal RNA (592 nucleotides) under uncultured Archaeospora. Its description in RNAcentral is "eukaryotic LSU rRNA". The stretch from base 157 to 310 matches the Rfam family "5.8S ribosomal RNA". The record is from RNAcentral. Lineage: Eukaryota; Fungi; Glomeromycota; Glomeromycetes; Archaeosporales; Archaeosporaceae.
GGAAGUAAAAGUCGUAACAAGGUUUCCGUAGGUGAACCUGCGGAAGGAUCAUUAACGAACAAAGGAUUCUUUAUGAAUCUUUUGGGAUCAACCAAAACCAGUAAGAUAAUGGUAUUUAAUCAUUGUAUUGAAUACGCUUUAUAAUAAAUAUUACAAAACUUUCAACAACGGAUCUCUUGGCUCUUGCAUCGAUGGAGAACGCAGCGAAUUGCGAUAAGUAGUGUGAAUUGCAGAAUUCCGUGAAUCAUCGAAUCUUUGAACGCAUAUUGCACUCUUUGGUAUUCCGAAGAGUAUGCCUGUUUGAGGGUCAUUUGAAAAUUAAUCCAGACAUUUUUUGUCUUGGGAAUGAUGAGUUUUCCGUUAUCAAUCUUUACGACUGGUGAUGGUCACUNGAAAUUAAUGCUAUGUCUUGGCUUGUAACAGACGCGUUUAUUUUUAAUAUAAAUGUUCGCAACUAAUCAAGUCUCGUGUUCUAGCCUGUUCAAUUUCAACCUUUUAAAAGAGGAUGAAAUCAAACAAAAUAACCUUAUAAUCGUGACCUCAAAUCAAGUAAGAGUACCCGCUGAACUUAAGCAUAUCAAUAAGCGGAGGA